RNAcentral lists this unclassified non-coding RNA (237 nucleotides) under air metagenome. RNAcentral's name for it is "partial contains small subunit ribosomal RNA, internal transcribed spacer 1, and 5.8S ribosomal RNA". The stretch from base 1 to 46 matches the Rfam family "Eukaryotic small subunit ribosomal RNA", at positions 1786 to 1831 of the family's 1831-position model. The record is from RNAcentral.
AAGUCGUAACAAGGUUUCCGUAGGUGAACCUGCGGAAGGAUCAUUACAGAGCUCAUGCCCGAAAGGGUAGACCUCCCACCCUUGCGUAUUUAUACUUUGUUGCUUUGGCGGAGCGGCUGCAAGGCCACCGGCUCCGGCUGGUGCGUGCCCGCCAGAGGACCCUAAACUCUGAAUAUUAGUGUUGUCUGAGUACUAUAAUAAUAGUUAAAACUUUCAACAACGGAUCUCUUGGUUCUG